This 440-nucleotide ribosomal RNA is filed under the name uncultured bacterium. RNAcentral's name for it is "partial 16S ribosomal RNA". It matches the Rfam family "Bacterial small subunit ribosomal RNA", at positions 338 to 795 of the family's 1533-position model. The record is from RNAcentral.
CCUACGGGAGGCAGCAGUGGGGAAUAUUGCACAAUGGGGGAAACCCUGAUGCAGCGACGCCGCGUGAAGGAAGAAGUCUUUCGGUAUGUAAACUUCUAUCAGCAGGGAAGAAUAUGACGGUACCUGACUAAGAAGCCCCGGCUAACUACGUGCCAGCAGCCGCGGUAAUACGUAGGGGGCAAGCUUUAUCCGGAUUUACUGGGUGUAAAGGGUGCGUAGGCGGUGCAGCAAGUCAGAAGGGAAAGCCCGGGGCUAAACUCUGAGACUGCUUUUGAAAAUGUUAAACUAGAUUGCAGGAGAGGUAAGUGGAAUUCCUAGUGUAGGGGUGAAAUGCGUAGAUAUUAGGAGGAACACCAGUAGCGAAGGUGGCUUACUGGACUGUAAAUGACGCUGAGGCUCGAAAGCGUGGGGAGCAAACAGGAUUAGAUACCCCUGUAGUC